Long non-coding RNA from Nerophis ophidion (straightnose pipefish), 772 nucleotides. RefSeq lists it as uncharacterized. The transcript is spliced from 3 exons. Lineage: Eukaryota; Metazoa; Chordata; Actinopteri; Syngnathiformes; Syngnathidae. The record is from RefSeq and is a predicted model, not a curated record.
GUUGCGUUAGAUGACGCCAUUCAUCUUGACGUAAGCAGGCUGUCACGUGCUGCUGCCGCCCUGCUUAAUACUUGCACGUCCAUGCGGAAACUUCAACACGGGACUGCAGAGCGCAUGCGUCAACAAGUUUAAAGUUAAAUUUUCACUUACUACCCGGAAGCAAAACAAGACAGUUGACUAUCUCCACACGUAUGUUGUAUUUGCAGCCAUGAGUGGAUGUCUUUCAUGUCUGUGAUCGCACACGUCUUUUUGCUGCACGCCAGGGGUGUCCAAACUUUUUCCACAGAGGGCCGCAUAGGGAAAAAUUGUGCGGCCCACAGUGGAAAAAGUUUGGACACCCCUGAUUUAGGAGCAGAUCUGGCCUUGACUUUGACACCCCUGGUCUAAAGGAAGGCACUGAGGCUGCAUUACCAACUGUCUGCUGCUCUUUGCUGACUUUCUCCAGCUGUCUCUUGUUGUGGAGAUGAAGAUCAGCCAGCUGAUCACCAAGUUGCUUUGAAUAUCUGCACAUGGCAAGAAAAAAAAAAUCAAUCAAUCAAUAAAUACUGCUACUAAAUGGUCAUACAAUGAAAGGGAGUGUCCUACUUGUUCAGACCAUGCAUGUCCAAGUGUUCCAUGACAAACGCACACCCUCCAGUCUCCAACUGCAACACCUUCACGGGUCUGGGGACUUUGACACUUUCUGUCUUUAAUAUGGCCUCCAAACUGGCCAUUUCCCCUUCGAACAUCACUUUGGCCUCCAUAAGGGGGAACAGAUCAAAACCCAUCACUC